UGGAAGGAGGAGGUCAGGAGAGCUGCUGUGCAGACAGCUGGCAUUCAAAGGAGAAAGUGGUUUGGGGAACAGUGUUACAUUCACAUUUUCUGAAGUGAGUUUAUGCGAGAAGUGCCUUGUCAAUAUACUAUCAAUACAUCAUCGGAGACCUACAUGAAGUUCAGGAAAGCUUCAUGACCAGUGUGCAAGUGAUGAUGUAAAUACAGUGACAGAGGUCACAAACACUACUUUCCACAAAAGUAGCAAUGAAAAUUUAGCACUAAUGUUUUAAUGCACACCAACUUGAACCUCCAUGUGUUCAUCAACUUCCAAGGUAGGAGUGAUGAACUAAAGAAAAGACAACUUGACUGGAUUUCCUCACUUAUUAUCCCCACAUUCAAGGCAGCAAUAUAAGGCAGGAAGUCUAAUGAAAUGUUUGAACC
Long non-coding RNA from Balaenoptera ricei (Rice's whale), 422 nucleotides. RefSeq lists it as uncharacterized. The transcript has 3 exons. The record is from RefSeq and is a predicted model, not a curated record. NCBI's taxonomy places the organism in Eukaryota, Metazoa, Chordata, Mammalia, Artiodactyla, Balaenopteridae.